ACGUAGGGUGCGAGCGUUAAUCGGAAUUACUGGGCGUAAAGCGUGCGUAGGCGGUUCGCUGUGUCCGAUGUGAAAGCCCCGGGCUUAACCUGGGAAAGGCAUUGGAAACUGGCGGGCUUGAGUGUGGCAGAGGGGGGUGGAAUUCCGCGUGUAGCAGUGAAAUGCGUAGAGAUCAGGAAGAACACCGAUUGCGAAGGCAGCCGGCUAAACUGUAACUGACGCUGAGGCACGAAAGCGUGGGGAUCGAACAGG
This 252-nucleotide ribosomal RNA is filed under the name uncultured bacterium. RNAcentral describes it as "partial 16S ribosomal RNA". It matches the Rfam family "Bacterial small subunit ribosomal RNA", at positions 525 to 776 of the family's 1533-position model. The record is from RNAcentral.